RNAcentral lists this ribosomal RNA (1471 nucleotides) under uncultured bacterium. RNAcentral describes it as "bacterial SSU rRNA". It matches the Rfam family "Bacterial small subunit ribosomal RNA". The record is from RNAcentral.
GAGUUUGAUCCUGGCUCAGAAUCAACGCUGGCGGCGUGCCUAACACAUGCAAGUCGAACGCGAAAGGCACCUUCGGGAGCUGAGUAGAGUGGCGAACGGGUGAGUAACGCGUGGGUGAUCUACCUAGAAGUGGGGGAUAACUCGGGGAAACCCGGGCUAAUACCGCAUACGCCUGAGAAGGGAAAGGUCUUAGGAUCGUUUUUAGAGGAGCCCGCGUCCGAUUAGCUAGUUGGUGAGGUAAGAGCUCACCAAGGCGACGAUUGGUAGCCGGUCUGAGAGGACGGACGGCCACACUGGGACUGAGACACGGCCCAGACUCCUACGGGAGGCAGCAGUGGGGAAUUUUGGGCAAUGGGCGCAAGCCUGACCCAGCAACGCCGCGUGGAGGACGAAGGUUUUCGGAUCGUAAACUCCUGUCCAGAGGGACGAAGCGAGUGACGGUACCUCUGGAGGAAGCCCCGGCUAACUCCGUGCCAGCAGCCGCGGUAAUACGGGGGGGGCGAGCGUUGUUCGGAAUUACUGGGCGUAAAGGGCGCGUAGGCGGCUCUGGAAGUCAUGGGUGAAAGCCCCGGGCUCAACCCGGGAAAGGGCCUGUGAAACCACAGGGCUGGAGUGCUGGAGAGGGAAGCGGAAUUCCAGUGUAGCGGUGAAAUGCGUAGAUAUUGGGAGGAACAUCGGUGGCGAAGGCGGCUUUCUGGACAGACACUGACGCUGAGGCGCGAAAGCCAGGGGAGCGAACGGGAUUAGAUACCCCGGUAGUCCUGGCUGUAAACGAUGAACACUUGGUGUGGGGGGUGAAGAAAGUCCUUCCGUGCCGCAGAGAACUCGUUAAGUGUUCCGCCUGGGGAGUACGGCCGCAAGGCUGAAACUCAAAGGAAUUGACGGGGGCCCGCACAAGCGGUGGAGCAUGUGGUUUAAUUCGACGCAACGCGAAGAACCUUACCGGGGUUUGAACUGCUCAGGCGACUCUCAGAGAUGGGGGGUUCCUUAGGGACUUGAGCAGAGGUGCUGCAUGGCUGUCGUCAGCUCGCGUCGUGAGAUGUUGGGUUAAGUCCCGCAACGAGCGCAACCCUUGUUUGUAGUUGCCAUCAGGUCGAGCUGGGCACUCUACGGAGACUGUCGGCGAAAAGCCGGAGGAAGGUGGGGAUGACGUCAAGUCCUCAUGGCCUUUAUGUCCCGGGCUACACACGUGCUACAAUGGGCGGUACAGAGGGCCGCGACCCUGUGAAGGCAAGCGAAUCCCAGAAAACCGCUCUCAGUUCGGAUUGCAGUCUGCAACUCGACUGCAUGAAGGUGGAACCGCUAGUAAUCGCGGAUCAGAACGCCGCGGUGAAUACGUUCCCGGGCCUUGUACACACCGCCCGUCACAUCACGAAAGUGGGCUGUACUAGAAGCCGCCGGCCUAACCCUCGGGGAGGAGGCGUCGACGGUAUGGCUCAUGAUUGGGGUGAAGUCGUAACAAGGUAGCCGU